GGUCCCUCCGGCGCCGGCCGAGCCUCGCCGCCCACCCCGCCCCCGCCCCAGCCCCACAGGCCCGCGACCCGCUGACACCGAGGCGGAAGUGCGGCCGGCCGCCAGGCAGACUGACAGCCGGCGCUCUCCACUCGCCGCGCCCGGCGCCGGAGCGUCAGCGGCCGUCCGCCCAAUCCGCGCCCGGCCCGAGGGCCGCGCCGGGAGGCGGGACUAUGCUAAUCAUUUGCGGGAGCGGCAACCCCCGUUGCCCCUCGGGAGUCCCGCCCGCGCGGAGGAGUGACGCCACGGACAGCCAGUCAUAGCAGGCAGAGGCGGGGUUAUGCAGAUAUUGACCCUAGACCUCUCCAGAACUGGGCCGGCUGAGAGAAAGACGCUGUCUGGAGCUACUUACUGGGCAUCUGGCCACCGUGAGGGAUGUGGCGCCCGGGAAUGAGGCCAGCCCAGAGGGAAGCGAGAGCACACGUCCUGGGUCACCUGGAACAGCUACACCCUAAGCAAGCUCUGUCCUAGACUUUUCAGUUACAGGAGCUACUGUAUUUUCUUUUCUGCUGAAGCCAGUUUGAGUACAAAGGAAUACUGAGUCUUGCACCCCCAACAGUACUGACAGAGUAGUCGUGACCACAUGGCACAUGGAGACAGUCCCGCUCACGGCCGCCUCUUCCACAAAGCCGGACCCCAGCCCCACCGUGCCCCACCCGGCCUCCUGUCCCCCAAUGCUGGUCUCCGUGCUGCCACCUCAGAAUGUGAUUCCCCGUCUCUAGCAAGGAGGAGGUACUGACAGGUCACCCCAGCAGGACUAAGGGUGCCUUGAGGGCAGGGGCCGGCCUCGACUGAGUGGAUGGGGUCUCCGGCAGGAGUGGGGCCCAGAGAUCCCGUCAUCCCCCAUCCUAGAGACUGGCCCAGCUCACUGGUGGGCCCUGUCACUGCCGCCCGCCGACGUGCCGGGACUGAAAAGGAGCUCUCCCAACCUCUGCUGUAGAGAGAAACCAGGAGGGGGUGGGGCCAAGCCUCCGAAACAAAGGCGUUGCCAUGGUUACCCCUGAAGAAACCGACCCCAGCAGAAGAGGGAGGUGUGUGCAGGCCCCCAAGCCAGGACGAGGACAAGGCCUGUUGCCAUGGAGAUGCUCCAAAGCUUCCCUUGUGGGCCUGGCCAAAGUCCAGUGCAGGGUCCCGAAACCACCACCCCUCAUUCGAAGACGGGGCUUUGCGAUUCUGACCUAGGGCAAAGGACACGCCCCGAGGGAUUCAACCUGCUGGCCCACCCCGUGGCCAUGACCUCUGGGGUGAGUGCGGUAUCGGGGAGCUAGGGCCAGAGGAGAGGCUGGAAUGGACAGAGUCUCCUGUCUGCCCACGGGCCACACCAGGGCUGAGCUUGACCACCUCUGCCCUGGCCUUGGAGUGGGGUAGGGCCUGACCCCAGGUGGGCCCUGCGGCUGGGAUAUCAGUUUACCCCCUUUUAACAGAUGCAAUAAACUGAGCUCCAAGGA
Herpailurus yagouaroundi (jaguarundi) is the source of this 1487-nucleotide long non-coding RNA. RefSeq lists it as uncharacterized. The record is from RefSeq and is a predicted model, not a curated record. The transcript has 2 exons. Lineage: Eukaryota; Metazoa; Chordata; Mammalia; Carnivora; Felidae.